GCUUUCAUGUUUCAUUUUUAAUGUUUUGCUGAGGAGCAAAAAGGGAAUAGAUACACCAAUAAUGAGGUGGGAUGCGACUCGACCAAGAUUAUGAAGCACCAGGUGUUCUCCUAUCAGUCCAUAUCUAGAAUGAAUAUACUGGGACGCAACACCUUUAAGCGCCUUUGAUGGAUAGCUCCUCAAUGCUGUGCUGCCUGGCUGACCUCCAACAAGGUUCUGCUCCACUCAUCAGAAGUCGUGAUGAAACUUGGUCAUUUUAACCGCUGCUGUCCUACAUCACCUCUGUCUUGUGUAUGCUUAAACGUAGAAAAGUCCUAAAGCAUUGGACCCAGCAGUGUUGGGAUUCUGUAUCCACCAUUGUCUCUGAAAUGCAGUGUGCAAACCAUUUUGUGGCAUCAAGAGUGUGUGGGCAAGAAAGCAGAGACUUAGCUUCUCCAGUUGAAACUCAAGGCAGGAUUUAUGCUUUCAUCCAGGAACCUAAAAACAGUCCUAUUCAUGUAUUCAGUGUUUGCACAGAGCACGGCUUUGACACGAAGACUGAGAUGCUGCUUCUC
Molecule: long non-coding RNA, 554 nt
Organism: Struthio camelus australis
Lineage: Eukaryota; Metazoa; Chordata; Aves; Struthioniformes; Struthionidae
Source: RefSeq, a predicted model, not a curated record